GGGGAAUCUUGCACAAUGGGGGCAACCCUGAUGCAGCGACGCCGCGUGAGCGAUGAAGCCCUUCGGGGCGUAAAGCUCUUUCGACCGGAACGAUAAUGACGGUACCGGGAGAAGAAGCUGCGGCUAACUACGUGCCAGCAGCCGCGGUAAUACGUAGGCAGCAAGCGUUGUUCGGAGUUACUGGGCGUAAAGAGUGCGUAGGCGGCGCGGUAAGUCACUUGUGAAAUCUCUGAGCUUAACUCAGAACGGCCAAGUGAUACUGCUGCGCUAGAGUGCGGAAGAGGCAACCGGAAUUCUUGGUGUAGCGGUGAAAUGCGUAGAUAUCAAGAGGAACACCUGAGGCGAAGGCGGGUUGCUGGGCCGACACUGACGCUGAUGCGCGAAAGCCAGGGGAGCAAACG
This 401-nucleotide ribosomal RNA is filed under the name uncultured bacterium. RNAcentral's name for it is "bacterial SSU rRNA". It matches the Rfam family "Bacterial small subunit ribosomal RNA", at positions 356 to 774 of the family's 1533-position model. The record is from RNAcentral.